Molecule: ribosomal RNA, 497 nt
Filed under: uncultured bacterium
Lineage: Bacteria
Description: partial 16S ribosomal RNA
Rfam family: Bacterial small subunit ribosomal RNA
Source: RNAcentral
GAUGAACGCUGGCGGCGUGCCUAAUACAUGCAAGUCGAGCGAACAGAUGAGGAGCUUGCUCCUCUGACGUUAGCGGCGGACGGGUGAGUAACACGUGGAUAACCUACCUAUAAGACUGGGAUAACUUCGGGAAACCGGAGCUAAUACCGGAUAAUAUAUUGAACCGCAUGGUUCAAUAGUGAAAGACGGUUUUGCUGUCACUUAUAGAUGGAUCCGCGCCGCAUUAGCUAGUUGGUAAGGUAACGGCUUACCAAGGCAACGAUGCGUAGCCGACCUGAGAGGGUGAUCGGCCACACUGGAACUGAGACACGGUCCAGACUCCUACGGGAGGCAGCAGUAGGGAAUCUUCCGCAAAGGGCGAAAGCCUGACGGAGCAACGCCGCGUGAGUGAUGAAGGUCUUCGGAUCGUAAAACUCUGUUAUUAGGGAAGAACAAAUGUGUAAGUAACUAUGCACGUCUUGACGGUACUUAAUCAGAAAGCCACGGCUAACUACGUG